UGCACUUCAUGUAGCACUAUUUGCUUCUGUGUCUUAUAAUGUUGCAUGUACCCUCUCUCAGGGCGCCAACCGUACAACAGAGGAGGCAGAACGUGAGAGGAGAGAGCGAGAUGAGCGGAUGAGGCACAGCAGGAAUCCUGCAGCUCGUGGUAUCCCAGCAGCCUCAGGCAGACCUCGCCCCACACAGGAGGGAGCUCCUCCCACCCCCCUCACACCCACCUCUCACACAGGUAAACAGUCUUUCACUUGCCUCUGCCACUUCCCAAGUACUUGAAACACUGUAAGGAGUCAUCUCAUCUCACAGCGAACACAUCCUCACCGAGACCGGUCACUGGCAUGGAGCGCGAACGUAAGGUCAGCAUGCGGCUUCAUCGUGGCGCCCCAGUGAACGUGUCGUCCUCGGACCUGACGGGGCGUCAAGACACUUCCCGCAUGUCCACAUCACAGAAUAGCAUUCCCUUCGAACACCACGGCAAGUAGUUGAUCGUCACAUCCUUGUGUGAAGGCAAAUGCACCAGAUUGUCUCCAUGUCCCAGAAGCCUCCACUUUGCAAUAUGGAGCAGGAUGGGCAACCUAACUACACAUGGCUGAUUGACAGCUCUCCACCAUCAGCUAAUAGAUCGGCCGUCAGUGUCUCUCUUCUAUUGACCAAACCAAAAUGGUGUAGAACCAACCCGACCUCUUUGCUUACAGGCUUCCUCUCCUCUUCUUCUCUCUCAUGUUCUCAUAUUUUCUCUCCUACACUUUUUAAAUGUUCUCGUGGACAUGAGAGCUACAGCCUGGUGCGAAUUCACACCAUUUGGUUGACCAAUCAGAGACCGGAUCAGCCAGCCACACCAUUGUCAGCUCCUGCGUCCUUCCUUCACAGUUCCACUCACACACAUUCAGUGCUGCACAACUUUCUCUGGUUCAGGCUCCUCGUGAUUGAGGCUAAUGUAUCGUCUGUGUGGUUUAAAUGGGUCUUUUUGUUUCUGUGUACUGAAAUUUCUUUUGUAUUUUAACCUGGGCAACAGACGAGUCCGUCUGGUGGCCUUAUGGGUUCACUUUAAAAUUUUCUAUUUACUCCAUGUAUUUAUUUUUUAAUAUACAUUUUAAUACCCCUCUGUAGCUGGUGAGGUUCCUUUCCCGCAGUGAAGCUGGUGGUAUAGAGUGGACGGACCACAAAGGGGCCAGAAUCCCAGCAUACAUCGCUCAUGGCAAACUGACUCCACAGCGUGGUUUUUACUCAUACAUGUGCUCACAGCGGGACCCUGUGAACUUCACCUGUUUGUCUGCUAUAUUGAUCUCUUUAACUGUACAAUACUGCCUCCCCCUUUAUUGUGUCUUCUGUUUCUAAGCUGUGAAAUAACUAAAAUAAUCGUGUAAAUGUUUCCAUGCGAUUCUUCAGAAAGACUAUGAAAUGACCGCAGAUGGUUUGAGUCUGAAAGUUAUCACCAGUUAUUUUUAUCAACUCUUUCAUAAAGCCACAACAAUGAAGUGCCAGACUUUGGGGGUUUCAUGCAUUCUGAGCAUGAACUUUGACUCUUGAGGAUGUUGUUUUGACUCAUGAAUGGAGAUCAUGCUUAGAAAUGCUUUGUCUCUUUUGAAAAGGUUGGUUAUACUUUGCUGCAAAUUUUUUUUUUCUGAUGGUUCAGAUGGUGUUUUGUAAGUGAAAAGU
Molecule: long non-coding RNA, 1657 nt
Organism: Sinocyclocheilus grahami
Lineage: Eukaryota; Metazoa; Chordata; Actinopteri; Cypriniformes; Cyprinidae
Source: Ensembl